This 500-nucleotide ribosomal RNA is filed under the name uncultured bacterium. RNAcentral describes it as "partial 16S ribosomal RNA". It matches the Rfam family "Bacterial small subunit ribosomal RNA", at positions 30 to 523 of the family's 1533-position model. The record is from RNAcentral.
AUUGAACGCUGGCGGAAUGCUUUACACAUGCAAGUCGAACGGCAGCACGGACUUCGGUCUGGUGGCGAGUGGCGAACGGGUGAGUAAUACAUCGGAACGUGCCCAAUCGUGGGGGAUAACGUAGCGAAAGCUACGCUAAUACCGCAUACGAUCUAAGGAUGAAAGCGGGGGAUCGCAAGACCUCGCGCGAUUGGAGCGGCCGAUGGCAGAUUAGGUAGUUGGAAGGGUAAAGGCCUACCAAGCCGACGAUCUGUAGCUGGUCUGAGAGGAUGAUCAGCCACACUGGGACUGAGACACGGCCCAGACUCCUACGGGAGGCAGCAGUGGGGAAUUUUGGACAAUGGACGCAAGUCUGAUCCAGCCAUUCCGCGUGCAGGAUGAAGGCCCUCGGGUUGUAAACUGCUUUUGGACGGAACGAAAAGCGCUAGGUUAAUACCUUGGCGUCAUGACGGUACCGUCAGAAUAAGCACCGGCUAACUACGUGCCAGCCGCCGCCGUAA